This 390-nucleotide unclassified non-coding RNA is filed under the name soil metagenome. RNAcentral's name for it is "partial contains 5.8S ribosomal RNA, internal transcribed spacer 2, and large subunit ribosomal RNA". The stretch from base 1 to 122 matches the Rfam family "5.8S ribosomal RNA", at positions 35 to 154 of the family's 154-position model. The record is from RNAcentral.
GAUGAAGAACGCAGCGAAAUGCGAUACUUGGUGUGAAUUGCAGAAUCCCGUGAACCAUCGAGUCUUUGAACGCAAGUUGCGCCCGAAGCCAUUAGGCCGAGGGCACGCCUGCCUGGGCGUCACACGUCGUUGCCCCCCCAUCUACUCCUUCGGGAUUGCGGGGGGCGGAUGAUGGCCUCCCGUGCGCCUCGUCGCGCGGUUGGCAUAAAUGCCAAGUCCUCGGCGACGCACGCCACGACAAUCGGUGGUUGCGAAACCUCGGUUGCCCGUCGUGUGCGGUCGUCGCGCAUCGAGGGCUCGAAAAAAUUGCCGGGCUCCGGCUCGGCUUUCAACGCGACCCCAGGUCAGGCGGGGUUACCCGCUGAAUUUAAGCAUAUCAAUAAGCGGAGG